UUUCCGUAGGUGAACCUGCGGAAGGAUCAUUAUUGUAUAACCGAGGUGCGAGGGCUGUCGCUGACCCGAAAGGUCGUGCACGCCCUAGUGCCCUCACACACAUCCAUCUCACCCCUAUGUGCACCACCGCGUGGGUCCCCCUUUGGCUUGUUCGGAGGGGGGCUUACGUGUUCACACAAACUCUGUAUGCAGUGUAGAAUGUAUUUUUUGUUUUUGCGAUCACGCAAUCAAUACAACUUUCAACAACGGAUCUCUUGGCUCUC
RNAcentral lists this unclassified non-coding RNA (263 nucleotides) under plant metagenome. RNAcentral's name for it is "partial contains small subunit ribosomal RNA, internal transcribed spacer 1, and 5.8S ribosomal RNA". The record is from RNAcentral.